UACGUAGGGUGCGAGCGUUGUCCGGAAUUACUGGGCGUAAAGAGCUCGUAGGUGGUUUGUCACGUUGUCCGUGAAAACUCACAGCUCAACUGUGGGCGUGCGGGCGAUACGGGCAGACUAGAGUACUGUAGGGGAGACUGGAAUUCCUGGUGUAGCGGUGGAAUGCGCAGAUAUCAGGAGGAACACCGGUGGCGAAGGCGGGUCUCUGGGCAGUAACUGACGCUGAGGAGCGAAAGCGUGGGGAGCGAACAGG
This 253-nucleotide ribosomal RNA is filed under the name uncultured bacterium. RNAcentral describes it as "partial 16S ribosomal RNA". It matches the Rfam family "Bacterial small subunit ribosomal RNA", at positions 524 to 776 of the family's 1533-position model. The record is from RNAcentral.